UGGGCAAUCUGCCCUGCACUUCGGGAUAAGCCUGGGAAACUGGGUCUAAUACCGGAUAGGACCUUUAGACGCAUGUCUUUUGGUGGAAAGCUUUUGCGGUGUGGGAUGGGCCCGCGGCCUAUCAGCUUGUUGGUGGGGUGAUGGCCUACCAAGGCGACGACGGGUAGCCGGCCUGAGAGGGUGUCCGGCCACACUGGGACUGAGAUACGGCCCAGACUCCUACGGGAGGCAGCAGUGGGGAAUAUUGCACAAUGGGCGCAAGCCUGAUGCAGCGACGCCGCGUGGGGGAUGACGGCCUUCGGGUUGUAAACCUCUUUCACCAUCGACGAAGGUUCGGGUUUUCUCGGAUUGACGGUAGGUGGAGAAGAAGCACCGGCCAACUACGUGCCAGCAGCCGCGGUAAUACGUAGGGUGCGAGCGUUGUCCGGAAUUACUGGGCGUAAAGAGCUCGUAGGUGGUUUGUCGCGUUGUUCGUGAAAUCUCACGGCUUAACUGUGAGCGUGCGGGCGAUACGGGCAGACUAGAGUACUGCAGGGGAGACUGGAAUUCCUGGUGUAGCGGUGGAAUGCGCAGAUAUCAGGAGGAACACCGGUGGCGAAGGCGGGUCUCUGGGCAGUAACUGACGCUGAGGAGCGAAAGCGUGGGGAGCGAACAGGAUUAGAUACCCUGGUAGUCCACGCCGUAAACGGUGGGUACUAGGUGUGGGUUUCCUUCCUUGGGAUCCGUGCCGUAGCUAACGCAUUAAGUACCCCGCCUGGGGAGUACGGCCGCAAGGCUAAAACUCAAAGGAAUUGACGGGGGCCCGCACAA
RNAcentral lists this ribosomal RNA (810 nucleotides) under Mycobacterium sp. Its description in RNAcentral is "bacterial SSU rRNA". It matches the Rfam family "Bacterial small subunit ribosomal RNA", at positions 118 to 928 of the family's 1533-position model. Lineage: Bacteria; Bacillati; Actinomycetota; Actinomycetes; Mycobacteriales; Mycobacteriaceae. The record is from RNAcentral.